GUUUUUCUUCAGUAUUUGUAUUUUGGGAGUAGCAUUUUUUAGUUAUUCAAUCAGAUCACUAGGUUAGCCAUUGGUAACCAUAAUCUUUUUAACUCUGCAUUAAAUUCUAAUGGACCUUGGAAGUUAAAAAGAGGAAUAGAAGGGAUUGUUAUUUUGAUAUAAAUAGUUGUUAAGGAGAGGAAAGAUUAUGGUGAAAUGUUGAACGAUGCUCAUUUUUGAUACUGGGUUCCCCAUAAUUGGUUUGAUUGAGUGAUGUAGGUUAUUGAGUUGUGUAAUUGAAUGAUGAAGUGGGAGAAAAUUGAUAUUCAGUUUGGAACUAGGAAUAUACUUCUUGUCUUUCGCCUUUUACUUUAGGUGAUUCUGUUUUACACCUGCCAGCAUUUUUAAGUACCAUAUUUCUAGAAGAUGAUCUUUUCUUGUGGUAAUGACAUGGCAAUUCUGUUUUAAAAUCUACUUAAUUUUGGAUGGAAACUUUGUUGAGUAUGUCUACUUGUCUAACCUGUUUUGCUUUUGCCCUAUUUAUCAAUUAUUUAUCUGUUUGUCCAUUUAUGUAUUUAUUUUUCAUGAUUUAUUUUUUGAAUGAGACUAUGGUAGCAUUGCUGAAUGAGUUUAGCUUUUUCCCUUUUCAUUUAUUUAUUUUGUUUGUUUAUGUAAUUACUUAAUCAUUUAUAUUUAUGUAUUUGAAUGAGUCCGUGACUUCUUGCUUCAAGUAACUUUAUCUGCUAUUCUGCUUUAACUUGUUUGGCGAGUCAAUAAUAGGCCUUCAUGUCAUUUAGCAACAUUAGUGGAAGUUGUCUUUUAGCUUGGGGUGGGGAGAUGGGCAUCCUUGUAGAUGAGCAAUUUUAGGUUUCAAUAACCAAAUACCUUGUUUUAUAAAUUCUCAAGGUCCAUCUGGUUGGAAAAAUAUUUUUAAUUUUCCAUUUUCCAAUUUAUAUAUUGUUUAAAACAUGAAAAAAAGAGGCUACAUAAGCAGAAACUGGAAAUAUAGUUAUCGAAAACUUUAGUUUUCACCAAUCUAUUUAAGUUUGGAAAAAUGGAGAACAUGGUUUUCUAAGACUGUUCUUUUGGCUUGCAUUUGCUGUCUAAUUCUGAAAAAUUAUGCUUGUAAAAGUGAGUUGUUGAAACAAGGACAAAUAACAUUUUUACGCUUUUUAAAUUUCACUAUUUUUAGUAAAAACAAGUAAAAAUUGUACUUGUAACAAAGUGAGUGAGGCUUCAUUUGUGUAUCCUUUUCCUCUGUGAUUCUUGGUCUAGGCCAUUUGCUGUCUAAUUCUGAAAAAUUAUGCUUGUAAAAGUGAGUUGUUGAAACAAGGAAAAAUAACAUUUUUACGGUUUUUAAAUUUCACUAUUUUUAGUAAAAACAAGUAAAAAUUGUACUUGUAACAAAGUGAGUGAGGCUUCAUUUGUGUAUCCUUUUCCUCUGUGAUUCUUGAUCUAGGCCAUCUAAAUUUUCUGGAGCACUUCACUCAUGCCACCUUUUUUUAGUCCCUCCCAGACUUCAUUCCUCUUACUUGAAUAGUUGAACAUGUUCCAUCCUUUGUGCCAUUGUACAUGCCAUAUUGUUCUAUAUGUAGUAAUGAGGUUUGGGAAGGACUAAGCUUCAUCUUAGUUGAGGGUGGUUUUGGUGUAAUGUUAAAGUUACUCCAUUUGUGAAAUGGAGGGCCAUGGGUUCAAGUUACGGAACAGCUUCUCUGAAAGGUGUAACACUGCUCACGUCAACCUUCCUAGAGCCCACAAGCGUGGAUGCUUUGUGCACUGGAUCACCUUUUCUUUUUUAUUUUUUUUUUUGCGCUUUGUCUCACUUAGGUUGACUGCACCUAGGCUUCAGGAUCCCUUGGCCCCUUAAUGCCCUUGCGCAUGUAAUAAUUACGAUUGUGGCACUAGCUUUCUCACCUUGAGAGCAUUGAAAAUGAAGCAUGUAGGAUGUAAAAUUGAAAUUGUGUGUGGAAAUAGUACGUUUUUGGGUUUGAUGAGCAGAUAAACAUUUUUUAAGUUGUGUUGGAUUUUUCAACUUUUAAGGGUGGUCUGCUGUUCUUUUGCCUGCAUUUAAUUUGUUAGAGAAUUUAACUUACUUGAGACAUCUUUUUUCCCCUUCCUCUAUUCAUCAUUUGGGGUUAGGUGAUCUUCUAUUCAAAGGUGAGGAUCUCUCCCAUUUGUUAAUGGCAGGGGUGAGCAGAAUUGAAUAAACUGAAAAUCAAAAUUUUAGUAUUUGUGAAAACUGAACUGAACUGAUUUUAGGCAAAAAUCGAACCAAAUUGAAUCGGUCUGAUUCGAUUUGGUUUGAUCGGUUAGGCUUUUUAUUUUUUACAUCUUAUUUUUAGUAUUCUAAAAUUUAAUUAAAAUAUUUCAACAUUAAUUAUGAUCUAAUCAGAUAUUAUAAAAAAUAAUAUACUAUUUUCUCUAAUCGGUUUGGUUCUGUUUUUCUGAUCACCAAAACCAAACUGAAAUAAUUGAAAAUUUUGAAACUAAAAACCAAACUGAAUCGAAAUGAAUAAAAAAUUGAAUUGAAUUUUCGAAUUAAUUCGGUUUGGUCGAUUUUUUUCGAUUUGAACCAAAUUCUGCUCACCCCUAGUUAAUGGAUCGAUGGAUAUGAGCACUUGAGUUUGGAACUCCUUGAUUGUAGGUGUUUAACUAGUGGUGAGAGUUUAGAGAGUUUGUGUUGGGUUAUCAUUCUGAGGAUCUUGUCACUGGGCGAUGGAUAAGAUAAUCCUCUAUACUAAUUGACGCCUUCUCAUUAUUGAGUUUUUGCCUCAUGAGGAACCUUGGGUGGAGGAUGACAGGAUUCGUUAAAUAGAAUCCCAAACCUUGGACUUGUUGAUGAGGAGAGAGAGUCAUAAAUCUCUGUAGAGUUGUGUAGAGAAAUUCAGCUUGCCUUAUUUCUGUUGACAAUGCUCUUUAAAUAGAGGUUACAUUGGCCGUAGAAGGAAAAGCAGAGAUUCUGCCAAAAUGCAAGCAUAUCUUAUUACAUAAUUCUUGGCACGAUUAUAUGAUUAAUUGGGGCCAUUAUGCUGAUUUGUUGGGAUUAGAUUGCUGUCAUCUGCAUCAUGGAUAUUGUGCUGAUUUGCUGGAAUCAAAUUGCUUCCAGCUGUGUCCUUGAUUGUUGUCGUCUUACAAUUGUUUCCUUCUUGUUGUUUCUGCUAUGAUUUAUGCCUUCCAUAUGCUCUGCUAAUAAAGGCAUUUGUAACAUUUGCAUCUGUAAUAUUUCUCCCCUUCUGGAGAAAGAGCUUGUCUCUAAGCUCGAAAGCAGGACAGGCUGCUUGAAAUGUAGCAAAUCCUCCCGUAUGGCAUAUGCAGAAUCCAAGCGUUGCCAAUUAGGACUUUGGGUCGUGUUUUGAGAAUUGAAGCAGGGACAUAGAGCACAUGACUGUCAUCUAAAGGAGGCAGAGUGGGUGGAGUGGCAGGGGGAGGCCCUUUAAAAAUGUAAAGCAGCGAAACGUGGAAGAUAUUUUAGAGUUUUCUAUCACUGCUGUCGUAUAAUAGAAAAAGGGUCAUAAUAUUUGGGGGUAAGCUUGUGGCUAAUUUUACCUUCAAGAGAGUGCUAUCGGUAGGGGUGCAAACGUAGCCACACUAGAGAACCAACGUUGAAUUUGAUAUCUCUGAAUUUGAUAUCUCUGUGUCCACGGUCAUAGUAGGCUUUCAUGUGCUGCUGAGCUUGCUGCAAGUUAGCGCGGAUGUCAUGGAGCAUGUCAUCUUGGUUAAGGAAGCCAUGGUCUACAACAUCCACUUUGGAAGAACCAGCAAUAUAGGACAGUAAGCGUGGUGGUCCCGUUCAUAAACAACUUUGAAGGGUGUGGAAUGCAAAGCAGUGUGAAAGGGGAAUCCAAUCUACCAUCGUUUGGGACGUUCACCGAUGCAGCAACGUAGGUACAUUUCGAUGGUGCGAUUGACAACCUCAGUUUGGCCAUCAAUUUGUGGAUGGUAGGCCGAAGAGAAGGAUAAUUUGGUGCCACACAAUCGAAAUAGUUCUUUCCAAAAGCUGCUAGUAAGAAUGGCAUCACAAUCACACACCAUCAAUUUUGGUACCCAUAUAAGCGGACCACUUGCUCGAAGAAGAAUCGUGCAACACUAGUAGCCAUACAAGGUGGGCAAUGGGAAGAAAAUAAGCAUACUUAGAGAAGCGAUCCACCACCACAAACAAAACAGUUUUGCCCCACGAUUUUGGGAGCCCAUCAAUGAAAUCCAUGGAAAUGUCUGUCCAAACUUGGGUCGAAAGUGCAAGAGGCUGAAGUAAUCUAGCUGGUCGCAAGUGUUCAGAUAUAUUACACUGAUAAAUAGGACAAGAAGCAACAUAAUCAGCAAUAGUAGAGUGCAUCCCUUGCCAAUAAAAUUCACUUUGCACACGCUGUAGAGUUUUUUGGUAUCCUUCAUGCAUAUCAUCAUGAAAUCCGGAGAGAAUCGAAGCAAUCAAAGGAGAGGUUGACUGAAGAAAAAUUGUGCCUUUAAAGAAUAGAAUGCCAUUGUGCACAGUCCAAGAAUCAUCCAGCUUGCCUCUAUCCACCCUUUGUUGCAAUUCUCACAACUCAACAGAAUUUAGUAUUUUCGCUCUAAGCUCAUCUAGCAGCAACAGUUGUGGUUGAGUAAUGGCAUAGAGCUGGUUGUCAUAUUCAUUUUGACGAGAUAAGGCAUUUGCAGCUUUAUUCAAAUGUCCUGCCUUGAAUUGUACUUGGAAAUUAAAUCCCAUGAGUUUGCUGAGCCAAUGCAAUUGGGGGGAGGUGGAAAGAUGUUGUUCCAACAGGUAUUUAAGGCUGUGUUGUAAUGAUCGGUCCGGAUGAGGAACGAACAACGCCCCCAAUCAUAAGGACGCUAGUGGUGGAUGACUUUAGCCAACCCGAUUAAUUCACGCACAUAAGUUGGUAAGUUGAAGUGCUGAGCAACUAGUUUUUGGCUGAAAAAUGCAAUUGGGUGGUCUUGUUGUUGAAGGACAGUGUCGAUUGCACUUCUGGAAGCAUCGCAGUCCAUCGCGAAUUCUUCUUCAAAAUUAGGAAGCUGGAGAACCGAUGUAGUGGCAAGAGCAGUGAAAGAAGCCAAGGAAGUAUCAGUCCAAUGUAAAGCAUUUUUUUUAGCAUGUUAGUGAAGGGAGCAACAACUUGACCAUAAUUGAAAAUAAAUUUGCGGUAGCACCUAGUUAAGCCAAGGAAACCUCGCAAUGCUUUAAUGGACUGAGGUUGGGGCCAUUCUAUGAUUGCCUGAAUUUUGCUAGUAUCAAUUGAAACACCUGCAACAGAAAUAAUAUGUCCCAAAUAUGCAACUUCGGAUUCUCCGAAAGAGCACUUGGAUUUUUUUAAGUGGAGGUGACGAGCAUGAAGUAAAUAAAAAACCAUGCGAAUGUGAAGCAAGUGAUCAUCCCAGGUGGAACUAUAAACAAGGACAAAUUGGCGGAGGUGUUUGUGGAAUACCUCAUUCAUGAGCGCCUUAAAGGUGGAAGGCGCAUUGGUCAAUCCGAAAGGCAUGACCAGGAAAACAAAAUGUCCAUGGUGAGUGCGAAAAGCAGUCUUUUCAAUGAUAGCCAGAUCAAAGGUCGAGCUUGGUGAAAAAUUAUGCUCCAUGUAAUUCAUCGAGGAGCUAAUCCACAACAAGUAUAGGGAGCUUAUCUUUAAUGGCAUUAAGCUCUCUAUAGUUAACACAAAAAUGCCAAGAGCCAUCGUGCUUGUGUACUAACAAAACUGGAGAUGAAAGGGGUGACGGACUUGGUCGGAUAAUGCCUUGUUGCAGCAUUUGAUCACUUUGCCUUUCUAUAUCAUCUUUUUCAAGAUGUGGGUAUCGGUAAGGCCUCACCGCCAUUGGACUGGUAUUAGGAUGUAGGCAAAUGCGAUGGUCACAAGUUCGCAAGGGUGGCAAUCUUGUUGGUUCUGCAAAUAAAUCAGUGAAUUCCUCUACUAGGCUGCUAAGUUUGUUAAGCUCGAGAUGGGAUUUCUACAGGGAAAGAAUAUGAUGAGCUGCUGGUGUCGGCUGUCCAUGGAUAGAAAUGGUCUUGACGUUGGUUGUGAAGCUCAUAGUGAGAGAAGUGAAAUCUUAUAGAAUCGGCCCCAAAGUGCGCAACUAUUUAACACCUAACACAAGAUCAAAUCUAGCUAAAGGGAUAACAAAAAAAUCAGCAAUGAAAUUAUGUUGAUUCACAGAGAAGGAUACCGCUGGACAUAUUCCGGAGCUAGAUAAUUUGGUUCCAUUGGCCACAUACACAUUGAUUCCUGUUUGGGGAUGGAUGUGAAGUUGUGGGUGCUUCUCGAAUCCACCAAGCUGAGUAGCGGCUGGCUAUGCAUGAAAAUUUGUAUAGGUUAUCACAAUUGUAGCAGAGAUCCUUUGGUCUCGUUUCUACUCGAGAUAAUCUUUUUUACAAUUGGAGAAGUAAAGGUGCUAGUGCUGGAAGCGGCUGAGCGGUGCCGGUGGCUCCAGGAAUGGUUGUAUGAGUGGGAUUAGUUUUGGAAGGAAAUUCGUUACUUCCCAAUGAGCCCUUGUUACUUCCCAAUGAGCCCUUGUGUUAACAUGUAGGUUGCGGCAAUUGCUGUUUUCUUUCAAAGGCCCCAGCGAAAUUCAUUGCUUGUGCUAAAUUAGAAGGCCUCUGCAUUUUCACAUCAAGUCUAAGGGAGUCGACGAGUCUUGCAGUAAAUCUACUUGUUGAUCCACCUUGACAGAAUUUGCGUGUGCCAACAACCCUUGGAAUCGGUGCUGAUAGUCUUUCACCGUGCCCAGAUUGCUUUAAAUUGACCAAUUCUCCUAAUGGGUUCCCCCUGAGAGGAGGUCCAAAACGUAGAGUGCAUUAGUUCUUGAAAGUGUUCCAAGGCGAAGUGGGCUCCUCUUGCUCCAAUUUGUAAUACCACAUUUGUGCUUUCCCUAACAUGUGGAAUGCUGCUAAGCCAACCUUUUCUGAUUUGGUCGUGUGUUGGUGGAGAAAGAAUUUUUCUCAUCUAUGCAACCAGACUAGAGGGUCUUCGGUGCCAUCAUUGGUGGGGAAAUCGAGUUUUAUACAUCGUGGUACCAUUCUGGUUCUUGUUUCAGUCUUAGUUUCAACCUUGGUUUUAGCCCUGCCUUCUUGAGUUCGUGGAAUAUUAUUAUUGCUUCUCUCUCCUUUUGAUUCUCGUCCUUAGGUCCGCAAAUAGCUGUGAACAGCUUGUGAAACUGUCGUGACAACGGCUACAAUUGUGCUUCUAAUUUUGAUUCUGUCUAUGCUUCUCGAGCCUCCAUUUGUGAUUUUGCCGCGGCUACCCUUGCUUCAGUUGUAGCAUGAGCCUCUUGAAAGAGAGCCCUCAAUUCCUCUCGUGGAUUGGAAUCGCCCAUCGUGUUAGGCUUUGAUACCAAGUUGUUGGGUUCUCGUGCUGAGGAUCUGAUGGACAAGAUAAUCCUCUAUACUGAUUGACAUCUUCCCUUUAUUGUGGUUUCUGCCUCGUGAGGAACCUGUGGUGCAGGAUGACAGGAUUCGUUAAAGGGAAUUCCAAAUCUUAGACUUGUUAAUAAUCAUACGCGUCUGUAGAUUUGUGUAGAGAAAUUCAGCUUACCUUAUUUAUGUUGACAGUGCUCUUUAAAUAGAGGUUACAUUGGCUGUAAAAGGAAGAGCAGAGAUUCUGCCAAGAUGCAAGCAUAUCUCAUUACAUAAUUCUUGGCACGAUUAUCUGAUUAAUUGGGGGCAUUAUGCUGAUUUGUUGGGAUUAGAUUGCUGUCAUCUGCAUCAUGGAAAUUGUGUUGAUUUGUUAGAAUCGGAUUGCUGCCAGCUCUGUCCUUGAUUGUUGCCAUCUUACAAUUGUUUCCUUCUUGUUGUUUCUGCUGUGAUUUGCGCCUUCCGUAUGCUCUGCCAACAAAGGCAUUUGUAACAGUUUGCCAAUUAUCUGCCAAAUUAGUGAGCUGCUAAGAUACAUUUGCUGUUUGCAUGCUGGUUUUAUAGAUUGAAGUGGGCGGUCAAUGGUGAAACCUCUAACUGUCCAUGAAAUAAAGUUUUUAUUUAUUGUUAGGAAUGGGGGAGUAAUGCAUUUUUUGAGCAAUUUAUAUAGAAUAUGUGGCUGAGAAUUUAAUUUUUGGAAGGUCAACAUUGUAACUAGAUGCAGGGUUUUAUGGCUGUUUGUGCAAUUAGAAAAAAUCUCAGCUCUUGGAAUACAAUUCUCCUUGAAAUCUUGAUAAAGAAUGUAAAAAGCAUUCUGAAGAGGCUGGCUAUGACAAAAUUUAUGAAGCUAAAGAGCAGCCUAAGAAAGAGAAGAGCAGCUUAAGUAGAAAAUUAGUUAUUAAAAAGGUGUAGUUUUUAGACAUGACUUAAAUCUUUAGAUAUUCUGAAUGGGUAUCCUGCUUGUAGUUAAGUGCAUCCAAGUGAAAGCUGCCUUUUGGACAUGGGGUAAUUUGAUCUAACCACCUUUUUACCCUUUACUUCUUGCUGCUGCUGUUGUUGUUGCUGUGCGUUGUCUUCUGCUCUAAUCUGUUAAUAAAGGACCUUUUGCAUAUGUUCUAAAUCAACCAUUUGCACUUGCAUUUGCUGUCAUCUCAAACACUCUUUUGAUCAUGGAACAAACAACCUGGUUUCUGAUAAUGUUGCCUUAAAUAACUACUAUAAUUAGACGGGGCUGGUUCCUUCUUAUUUUAUUAUUUUUUGAAUGGCAAUUAUUACUAAUCUUAUCAUUAGUUCAUCGGAGAGAACUUGAAAAAUUGAUGUCAUGGAGUUGAUUAUGUGAGAUUGUCACACCUUAGAAUAAGCGUGGAGAUGAAGAAUUCAGAAGGAUUGAUUAGAUAAACUCCUUGUGAAUUGGUGAUAUCUGUAAGACCUGAAAUAGUGGAAACAAUAAUUUACUGCCUUUUAACAUUUAAUAAUCUUUGAAGCUGCACUAUGCACUGUUUAAUGAAUGCACUGUUUAAUGAAUUUGGUUUCAGUUUUUCGAUUUUCUCUCUCUAUAUUGAACUGAAAGUAAAACACAAGAACAAAAACCAAACUGAAUUUCCUAAUUUAGUCCUUUCGGUAUUUUGUUUCAAAUUGAAUUGUGCUCACCCUUAGGUUUAUUGGCGUAUUGUCAUUGUUGGCCACAUUUCAGUCAAAGUUCCACUGCUAUUUUUUUUUCCUCCUUUUUUCCCCUUUUGAUUUGACGAAGGCUCAAUUAGUAGAAUAACAAACUAAUGCACACAAUAGGAGGUAGCCUUUUCCUUUCUCAUCAUAGAGGAAGUCGAGACAUCAUACUCAAUGCCCUUGAAUAAGACAACAGCGGAUAAGAAAUCAGGAGACAGAAAAGAUAUAUUUUACCUUAUUCUCAUAUCCAUAAGGACCAAAAUGUGGAAUAGAAACAAGAAACCAUAUACAUUUUUCAAUCUCCACUUCCUCUAUUCCUGAUAACUAAUAAGGCAAAUGUUUCAGCUAAAAGGCAGGAGUAACUCGUUCUUAUUUUCUGUAGGGAGAAAUAACAAAAAAUGAAUUUGGAGAAAUCAACAGUUCUAUAGAUGUAUUAGUUUUUACACUGCAAAUCUGCAAUACCUAUCAGAUGCUGGAGAUAUCAUGAUUUCUUUGGCAAGCAUGUAUUAAAUUUAGAGAUUGCAUGUAGGGCUGUGCAAUCGGUAGGUUCGGUUCCGAACCGAACUCAGAAAAACUGAAAUCAUAAAAAAGAUCAACUGAACUGAAACUGAAAUGAGAGAAUAACCGAAUUGAACCAAACCAAUUUGGUUUGGUUAUUAACAUUGGUUUUAAGACGGAGAUAUUAGAAAUUUUCCUCAAAUUUAUACUCCAAAUUCUCCCAAAACAGGUGCAGUACCUCCCUUCGUUUGAAUAUGAAUCAAUUUCAGAUCUCACAUCAACAAAUUUCUCAAAGAAAAGAAAUACCCAAGAAUCAAGAUGCUAAAUACCCACAAACAAUAUUUUAUAAAUGAAUUCAAACAAAGAUUUCCAUCAAAAUACACUCAAAAUAUAGCAAAACUAUCAAAAGCAAAAGACCCACUAUAAAUACAAUCAAAAUUACCCUUGCACACAAAGAAAUCAACAUGCAACCGCCAAUCAAAAUUCGAGCACAAGGAGAGUUCGAGCCCCAAACAUGCAGGGCAAAAGAGAGGAAAGGAGUUGCAGCCGAACUUGUGUCUCCACGCCGUCGAUCUAGGUCUCAUCUUCAAGGGAUGUGAUUGAAAGGAGAAUCAACAAAGCAAACUUGUGUGGGAGGCGAGGACACUAUUUUAUGCAGUAGAUGGCCUAGAUCUAAAAAAGAAG
This is a long non-coding RNA of Manihot esculenta (cassava), 10159 nucleotides long. RefSeq lists it as uncharacterized. The record is from RefSeq and is a predicted model, not a curated record. The transcript has 2 exons. NCBI's taxonomy places the organism in Eukaryota, Viridiplantae, Streptophyta, Magnoliopsida, Malpighiales, Euphorbiaceae.